GUAAUAGAAUUCAUUUGAGAGUGUAAACAUAAAUUUGAUGACAACAGUGAUGAAAUUAUCGUUGUAUAUCAAAGCAAUCAUACAAAUUAAUUAUGCAAAGGAAUGCUAGCUUGGGAAUAUAGAGCAAAGCUUGUCAGUUAGCCUAGGAACAUCAAGUUAUAGUAUCCUCAAUCAUAAUUGUUAGUGAAAUUUUGGUAACUAGAGCAGUCGAUGUCUGAAAUAUCUAAUUGCCAGACCAUCCACAAGCUUCAUCAAGUCGAUUAUUUAACAAAAGAAAAUAAUUACAAUAUUUUUACAAUAUAUAACUUAAAUCUUGCCAAUUAAAAUUUUAACAUUUUCUCAUACAUCUCCUAUAUAUAUCAAAACAUACUUAAAUAAUUUUAAAUUUCCGAUAAUUAAAUCUUCCAAUAAAAUAUUCUUUCAAAUAAAAUUCGUAUAAUUUUCAUUCAUUCAUUUCGAAACAACUAAAUUUAUUUAUUUAAAAUCAACACACCCUCGACACGAGAGAAUUCCCAUAGAAUUCCAAAUACACGAAUCGAUAAACAGGCAUUCGUUCACAUACGACAAGAAAAAUUGAUACCCGUUAAAUUCGAUAUCUCUCCCGUUGUCGAGCCAUCGAUCAAACAGGUGACGCUUUAUCGGUUAGUUACUAAUCACCUUUCCAAAGGGUCCAAAGGGAGUUUUAUUUUAGCAUAAUUCCAAUUUUAUCCCCGGACGAGCAGCAGCACGGUUGCUCGAAGAUGAAUAGCCGGGGGCGGCCGAUCAGAUAAAACGAUUCUGAAAGAUGGAGAACAAAGAGAAAAGGAAGAGAAGAAAAAGGGAAGGGGGGGGAAAGAAAUGGACGAAAUAAGAAGGAGAAAUUCCAAGAAUCGAGCAGGGCCGUAAUUCGGUCCAGUCAGCUUAAAAUGCAACCUAACUCUUCCCGCCCGACUAGUGGAACCACCCGAUUUGAAUAUCCAACUGAAUUAAGACAGCCUCACGGGCCAUUAAGUCAAGCGAAAAGAGGUGGAAACUUUUCUGGUAUUACCCAAGACGUAAAGGGACUCGCGCUAUCGAAUUUAUAUUGCGACAAGUGCAUACAGGACUUAGUAGGAUAGAAAAUAUGAAUUCUCGAGCGUUCGAUUUCAUUGUGUGAAUGAAAUCUGACGGGGAUUUUUCAUCAUUAUUACGCGAUAAAUUAUUCCAACUAUGUUAUCUGAUUUACAUUACGUGUAUUGAGUAAAAAAUACGUUCCAUUGAUUGAUUUGGUCAUACGUAUAUCAAAGAUCGAUGAUAGAAAUCAAUAUUCGAAGAUUGGUUGUUUAUUUAUCAAGUUACAAACAAUUUUUAAAUUGGACGAAGCGAAGAUGAAAUGAUCUCUGUCUCGUCUAGCGGAAAAUUAAAUUGCUUACGACUGGAAGAACAAAAGAAGUUCAUUUUUGCAUGCCAACUUGUGUGUUCCAGCCCCUGGAAUCAUCCCUUCAAAUUUUCUACCCACUUGAUCCGAACACCUUGUAUAUAUAGGUCAACUAUGCAACAACUUCGAACGAAUUUGUUUUGUCCUAUUCGUGUUGAUUUUUCUCUCUUGGCUUUUUCCAGAUUAACCUAACCUUUCUGUGCAUAUACGGACGCAUAGGCAAAAUUCCAUCCAACUGAAAAGCAAUUUACGAAUGCAUGAAGGGAUCGGGUGGAAAAUAUUUACCAUUUAGAAAAUGCAGAGUGGGAAAAUUAAAUUUAAAGAUAUCACGCUUGUUUAGAUUAUGUUAUUUGCGCGUGCGUAUAUAUAUAUAGGAAUUAAAAUUUUAUAAAUACGUUUAUGAAAAAAAAUUUCGUGACAUCUGGGGAGAAAUUUCCGAAAAAGAUUUCCAUGAAAAUGGUGUCAUGCUGACACGCGAAAAUUCUUAGUAAAAAGAAACCUCUUUUUUUUUAUUUUAUUUUAUUUUAUUUUAUUCAUUUUUUUAUUUUUCUUUUUUUUCCUUCGAAAUUGGCAUGUAAAAUGCAUAACCAAUAUUGACCGUCGGCCACAUUUUUGCACGUACAUGUUUUCAGGUUUUUGUGUCCUAUUUCGCGACGUAUUUUGUUAACCUCGUAAAAAAAAAAUUUUUCGAAAUUAUACUUAAACGAUAUUAUAUUAGAAAGAAAUGUUUGCGUGAAGUGAUUUUACAAAAAAAAAAAAAAGAUAAAUUAAUCAGUAGAGUUAAUUGAUGAAAAAAUGGGGAAAAAUUUCUGGAAAUAAAAAAACGAAAGAGAGAUGCGUAAAAUAUAUUUGUAAAACUCUCCGUAACAAAACAGCAGAGAGAAAUAACGAUCGUGCACCAAUUCCCUUCGUAAUUCCUGCAUUUUCCGUUUGUAUAUAAUCCUCUAUUUUAAUACACCUUAAUAUUUGCAUUAUCGACAUUGCACGCGCAUUAUUUAUAUAUCAAUCUAAUAAAAAAAUAAACAUUUCUUUUAUACGAAAAAUUUAUCCGUAACGUUGUAUCAACUCCUGCUAUUAUGACACCGCCGCGACAUUAAUUGGAAAAUAACUUGUAAUUGAAGAACAACGAAGGUUAAAAAAAUUUAAAAAAAAAAAGAGAGAGAGAGAGAGAUAAAUUAGAGAAAUAAAAAGCAAUAUCUUGAAAUCUAUUUUUAUAAAUUUUACAAAGGAUUAUAAAUUUCGAUCGGAGAAGCAAAUUUCAUUGAACUUUCGAAACUUUACGAGAGGGCAGUUUAACGCGAAACGCGAAAUCGUAGAGAGAGACGCGGGUGGGGAGGGGAAAAAACUGGAAUAAAACAUUAAAAUUCAGAAUAAACCGUUCCCGGCCGUUUAACUCGAAAAUUCAAGAGAGAAACCCGUGAUUGAAAAUUUGAAUGCGUUGGCCAUACAGUAUAUUUGCCGCACGAAACAAUGAACCGACUAAAUAAUCGAGCGCGAAAUAUCCUAUUUUUGAUUCUCUCUUUCUCUCUCUUUUUUUUUUCGCGCACUAUUUUAUUCUUGUCAACUGAAUUUUUGAUUGACCAUUUCGAAAUAAACACGGGACCGCGCUCAAUUUACGCGCUAAAUCGAUCUGUAUUUCGAUGGUAUCGUUAUUCGAGAACCAUUUCUAGAAAUUUGUUCGUAUUUUAUUAUUUCACAUUUUUCAAUGGACGGAUGUAAUGAUACGAUACGCGUGAUUUAUCUCGUCUCAAAUAUUUUUUCACGACGAUAAAAUAAUUAUAAAAUAAUUUUUUGAAAUUACAGAACGAGGGAAUCAGGAUUUUAGGGGAAUUUAAUUCAUCUAGAGAUUUUUCUCUACGUGAAUUUUAACAAAUACACGUAAAAGUUAUUUUAUUAAAGUGUGAAAUUAAUAUUCUGUGAAUCUUUAAUAAACGAUUGCAUCAUACAAGAGACGUAAAUCGAGAAAAACACACGAAAAGUUCUUCAGUGAUCGAUUUUGAAUUUCAAGAAUCCUUUCAUAAGAAAUGAUCAAUAAUCGUUCGUGGAGGAACGUGAACGGAUUGAUAUUCCAGGCUUAUCCAAUCUCAACGUGGAAUUCUUUUUAUCAUCAAAUCCUGAUCAAAUUUUCAUAAAUCAUAACCAUUCGUCAAUUUUUCUCUAGAAAAUUGUAUUGCAACUUUUUCUUCCAAAUUCCAAAAUCAAAAUUUCCACUGUUCGUGUGAAAAACAAAAGAAAAAAAUUAUAAAAUAGCCAAUAAACUGGCCCAAAAAUAAUAAGAAGAUACAUUAUUUUCCUCCAAUUAUUUUAGUUUAAUCGAUCAACAAAAAUCCAAGAACCGCGAACACCAAGAGAGAAAACAAAGUUUCUUUUCGAAGAGAGAAGAAAGGCGGUUUGCUCGAAAGCUGAGCCAUCGGGAUACGUUUGACAAACAACGUUCAACGUUGUAUUUUCAUAUUUCCAUAUCCGUAACGCAUAACACAUCACGGAGAAAAAAAAACACAAGCAAGGAAGGAAAACCAGGAUACGGAGCUUGGACCAUUUUUGAUUCUUUGAAGGUGUAACGUGAUCUAUCAAAUAUUAUAUGGAAAGUACUAUAAAAUUGAGAGUGCAAGUUUCUUUAGCGAAAGGAAAAUAUGAAACUUUCAUGAAGGAAAUAUCAAAUAUUUAUAUACACGAGAUUAUCAUAAUGCAAUCUUUUUCAAAACUCGUUUGUUCGUUACGAAAUGUAAUACCUUUGUGUAUUUCUUCUCCGAGUUUCUAUAUGCAUUUCUUUUAAGAUGAUUAAAAUUUCGACUUAAUAGGACUUUUAGGAACGAAUAUUUGUGACGAAGAAAGGGAAUUCUAUAAAGAGAUACGAUUUACUUAUUUCAAGUUUUAUAAAGGAAAGAAUAAGAUGUUUAUAUUUAUUGGAAACAUAAUAAAGAAGCAUCGUUAUAUGCACAAGAGAUAUAUAUGUGAAUGACAGAGGUAACAGAAAUAAAAAGCGAGUAAAAAAUAUAUGUAUAUGGUGCAAUAUUGUAUCCACUAAUGGAUUAAAAGUUUUGUUAUAAAAUAGAAAUGAUAUCCGAAACUUUUUACUCUCUGAUUGUAUGAAUUGUAUUUAAAUUUGUACUGCACAAAUUAUACCAUGAAAUGAAAUAUUGUCCAAGUAAUUAAAAAACUGAUGAACUUUUAUGAAACUAAACACACAAAUAAAAAAAAAAUAUC
RNAcentral lists this long non-coding RNA (4603 nucleotides) under Apis mellifera (honey bee). RNAcentral describes it as "uncharacterized LOC102655437". The record is from RNAcentral. Lineage: Eukaryota; Metazoa; Arthropoda; Insecta; Hymenoptera; Apidae.